This 393-nucleotide ribosomal RNA is filed under the name Triticum aestivum (bread wheat). RNAcentral describes it as "rRNA LSU_rRNA_eukarya". It matches the Rfam family "Eukaryotic large subunit ribosomal RNA", at positions 3005 to 3399 of the family's 3401-position model. Lineage: Eukaryota; Viridiplantae; Streptophyta; Magnoliopsida; Poales; Poaceae. The record is from Rfam by way of RNAcentral.
ACAGUGUCGCGAUAGUAAUUCAACCUAGUACGAGAGGAACCGUUGAUUCACACAAUUGGUCAUCGUGCUUGGUUGAAAAGCCAGUGGCGCGAAGCUACCGUGUGCCGGAUUAUGACUGAACGCCUCUAAGUCAGAAUCCAAGCUAGCAUGCGACGCCUGCGCCCGCCGCCCGCCCCGACCCACGUUAGGGGCGCUUGCGCCCCCAAGGGCCCGUGCCAUUGGCUAAGCCGGUCCGGCCGAAGUGCCGCGGUCGGCCGCCUCGAAGCUCCCUUCCCAACGGGCGGUGGGCUGAAUCCUUUGCAGACGACUUAAAUACGCGACGGGGCAUUGUAAGUGGCAGAGUGGCCUUACUGCCACGAUCCACUGAGAUCCAGCCCCAUGUCGCACGGAUUC